GAAACGACUGCUAAUACCGCAUAAGCCCACGGCUCGGCAUCGAGCAGAGGGAAAAGGAGCAAUCCGCUUUGAGAUGGCCUCGCGUCCGAUUAGCUAGUUGGUGAGGUAACGGCCCACCAAGGCGACGAUCGGUAGCCGGACUGAGAGGUUGAACGGCCACAUUGGGACUGAGACACGGCCCAGACUCCUACGGGAGGCAGCAGUGGGGAAUAUUGCACAAUGGGGGAAACCCUGAUGCAGCGACGCCGCGUGGAGGAAGAAGGUCUUCGGAUUGUAAACUCCUGUUGUUGAGGAAGAUAAUGACGGUACUCAACAAGGAAGUGACGGCUAACUACGCGCCAGCAGCCGCGGUAAAACGUAGGUCACAAGCGUUGUCCGGAAUUACUGGGUGUAAAGGGAGCGCAGGCGGGAAGACAAGUUGGAAGUGAAAUCCAUGGGCUCAACCCAUGAACUGCUUUCAAAACUGUUUUUCUUGAGUAGUGCAGAGGUAGGCGGAAUUCCCGGUGUAGCGGUGGAAUGCGUAGAUAUCGGGAGGAACACCAGUGGCGAAGGCGGCCUACUGGGCACCAACUGACGCUGAGGCUCGAAAGUGUGGGUAGCAAACAGGAUUAGAUACCCUGGUAGUCCACACUGUAAACGAUGAAUGCUAGGUGUUGGAGGAUUGACCCCUUCAGUGCC
This 678-nucleotide ribosomal RNA is filed under the name uncultured bacterium. RNAcentral describes it as "bacterial SSU rRNA". It matches the Rfam family "Bacterial small subunit ribosomal RNA", at positions 153 to 847 of the family's 1533-position model. The record is from RNAcentral.